Molecule: ribosomal RNA, 446 nt
Filed under: uncultured bacterium
Lineage: Bacteria
Description: partial 16S ribosomal RNA
Rfam family: Bacterial small subunit ribosomal RNA
Source: RNAcentral
CCUACGGGGGACUGCAGUCGAGAAUCAUUCACAAUGGGGGAAACCCUGAUGGUGCGACGCCGCGUGGGGGAAUGAAGGUCUUCGGAUUGUAAACCCCUGUCAUGGGGGAGCAAAUUAAAAAGAUAGUACCACAAGAGGAAGAGACGGCUAACUGUGCGCCAGCAGCCGCGGUAAUACAGAGAUGUCCAGCGUUGUUCGGAAUCGCUGGGCGUAAAGCGUGCGUAGGCUGUUUUGUAAAUCGUGUGUUAAAUGCGCGGGCCAAACCCGCGGACCGCACCUGAUACUGCGAGACUAGAGUAAGGUAGAGGGAACCGGAAUUCCCGGUGUAGCAGUGAAAUGCGUAGAUAUCGAGAGGAACACUCAUGGCGAAGGCAGGUUCCUGGACAUUAACUGACGCUGAGGCACGAAGGCCAGGGGAGCGAAAGGGAUUAGAUACCCGAGUAGUC